Molecule: non-coding RNA, 2316 nt
Organism: Halobacteriaceae archaeon
Lineage: Archaea; Methanobacteriati; Methanobacteriota; Halobacteria; Halobacteriales; Halobacteriaceae
Source: Rfam
GAGCCGAUGUCGCGUCGUGCGUUUUGAAAAACGAACCAGAGAGUGCACUUAUUCGGCGAGUCUAACCCGGUUAUCGGGGAAGGCAUAGGGAAACCGAUACGGCCGCAGCAUCUUCGGAUGUCAGGGCCACCGUCUUCAAGGGCGGGGAGCCGAGUGGGUGCGACCCGAAACCGAGUGAUCUACACGGGGGCAAGGUGAAGCGUGGCGAAAGCCACGUGGAGGCCUGUUAGAGUUGGUGUCCUACAAUACCCUCUCGUGACCCAUGUGUAGGGGUGAAAGGCCCAUCGAACUCGGCAACAGCUGGUUCCGACCGAAACAUGUCGAAGCAUGACCUCAGCAGAGAUAGUUCGUGAGGUAGAGCGACCGAUUGGGAGACCCGCCUCCGAGAGGAGUCGGCCUCCCUGUCAAACUCCGAACUUACGAACGUCGUAGAAGCUGGGAGUCCGGUUUGCGGGGUAAGCCUGUGAACCGUAAGGGAGACAACCCAGAGCUGGGUUAAGGACCCAAAAUGUGGACUAAGUGCAAUCGAAGAUAGUCUCGAGCCCUAAACAGCCGGGAGGUGAGCUUAGAAGCAGCAACCCUCUAAGAAAAGCGUAACAGCUUACCGGCCGAGGUUUGAGGCGUCGAAAAUGAUCGGGGCUCAAGUCCACUUCCGAGACCCGGCGGUACUCUUACAGAGUAAUCCAGUAGGUCGGCACUCUGAGCGGGCGGAAGCACGGGUGAGAACUCGUCGUGGACCGCUCAGUGACGAAAAUUCUGGUCACAGUAGCAGCGAGAGUCGGGUGAAAACCCCGACGGCCUAAUGAGCAAGGGUUCCUCGGCACUGCCAAUCAGCCGAGGGUUAGCCGAUCCUAAGUCUCACCGUAACUCGAAUGAGACAAAAGGGUAACUGGUUAAUAUUCCAGUGCUAUCACCACUCAAAGUCGACGCCUGGGGGUAGAUCGAGCCGGACAGUCGUCCGGUCGAAUCACCAAAAUCCGUGGAAGCCGUCAUGGCACGAAGCGGACGAACGGUGAAACAGCGAAAGUCGAUCCAACCUCGGGCCCGUGAAAAGACGAGCGUGAUAUUCGUACCGAGAUCCGACACAGGUGCUCAGGCGGAGAAAGCCAAGGCCUGUCGGGAUAACCGACGUUAGGGAAUUCGGCAAGUUAGUCCCGUACCUUCGGAAGAAGGGAUGCCUGCCCCUCACAGGGCAGGUCGCAGUGACUCGGACGCUCCAACUGUCUAGUAACAACACAGGUGACCGCAAAUCCGCAAGGACUCGUACGGUCACUGAAUCCUGCCCAGUGCAGGUAUCUGAACACCUCGUACAAGAGGACGAAGGACCUGUCAACGGCGGGGGUAACUAUGACCCUCUUAAGGUAGCGUAGUACCUUGCCGCUUCAGUAGCGGCUUGCAUGAAUGGAUCAAUGAGAGCGUCACUGUCCCAACGUUGGACCCGGUGAACUGUACAUUCCAGUGCGGAGUCUGGAGACCCCCAAGGGGAAGCGAAGACCCUAUAGAGCUUUACUGCAGGCUGUCGCUGGGACGUGGUCGCUGAUGUGCAGCAUAGAUAGGAGCCGUUACACAGGUACCCGCGCUAGCGGGCCACCGAGGCGCCAUUGAAAUACUAUCCGUCAGUGACUGCGACCCUCACUCCGGGAGGAGAACACCGGUAGCCGGGCAGUUUGACUGGGGCGGUACGCGCUCGAAAAGAUAUCGAGCGCGCCCGAAGGUUCUCUCAUUCGGGUCGGAAACCCGAAGAAGAGCGCAAGAGCAAACGAGAGCCUGACAGUGACAUUCCCAACGAGUGUCGCUGACACGAAAGUGUGGUCUAGCGAACCUACGAGGCCCAUAGAUGGGGCCCGUAGAUGACAGAAAAGCUACCUUAGGGAUAACAGAGUCGUCACCGGCAAGAGCACAUAUCGACCCGGUGGCUUGCUACCUCGAUGUCGGUUCCCUCCAUCCUGCCUGUGCAGAAGCAGGCAAGGGUGAGGUUGUUCGCCUAUUAAAGGAGGUCGUGAGCUGGGUUUAGACCGUCGUGAGACAGGUCGGCUGCUAUCUAUUGGGGGUGCGAGGUAUCUGACGUGAACGAUCGUAUAGUACGAGAGGAACUACGAUUGGUUGCCACUGGUGUACCGGUUGUCCGACAGGGCAGUUGCCGGGCAGCCACGCAACACGGGGUAAGAGCUGAACGCAUCUAAGCUCGAAACCCACAUGGAAAAGAGAUACCAUCAAGGUCACUCAUAGAAGAUGAGUUCGAUAGACUCGGGGUGUACGCAACGAGGCAACGAGUUGUUCAGCCCGCGAGCACUAACAGACCAGCCAUCACUCAUA